UGCUUGAAUGCAAAGCAGUUAAUUAAUUCUAAUGGUAUUGCACAUUAAUCUUGGCUUCAACGCAGUCUAAAACUUGCCUAAGCCCUGUUGGUUGCUGGGGAGUCUUUGAUUCUUGUGUGUGUGUCUAAUUUACUAAUGAACUUGGUGUCAUUUAGGGCUGAAGCAAGCACAUCUGAACGGGUCUGGCUGCUCUGGGCAGCUGGGGAAGGGCACCCACAGUGUUCUGAACAGAGUUGGAAGAACACCAGCGCUGAGAUGAGUCAGAGCCUCUCAAAGUGUGUGGUACCAAAGCAAUGCAGCACUGAAACUGUCUGUGCCAGCCUUCAAAGAUGCAUGUAGCCAGGGCCUCCCUUCAGGGGGCCAAUGAUGGAACCAUCAGUUUCAGUGAUGCCAGAAAUUUCCCAAGGAAUAGGAAGAGAACUGACACUUAUUCUGCACCUCCUUGAUGCCAACACCAAGUAUGUUAGGUCUCCGGCUUGCUGAAUGUGAGUGGAAAUGAUGAGUGACACUUCCAGGCCUGGCCCAUAAAAACCUCCCUCACAUGUUUCUCUACCAACCUUGGAAGCCAUGUGUGGAAAAUGGCAGAACUGCCUCCGCUGAUGAGGAACAUAUGAUUUGGCCUGUUACAUGAACAAGAAAUCAAUUUAUAUUGUGCUUGAAACAUUAUACAUUUAGGAAUUUGUUUUGUUGCAGCACUGGCUGUAUCUUAAUUGAAACAUACUCCCACACGAAUACUGCCUGGAAUGGUUUUCCUUGUACCAAAAAAAAUGACAGAUCAACUUUCCUCCUUUUUAAACGAAACUGCUUUCUGGAGACAACUCUGAAAAUCUAGUGGUGUUCUAUGGAGAACAAUCACCUGUUGGCUGAAUGGGCAACACCAGAGACUCACGAGAGAAAGCUUGCCUUGGUCCAGUGCUGCCCAUAUGAGGGACAAUUCUUCCUAAGUAUGGCUCUGUAUUAGCCAUCCCACUUUGCGAAAAGACCUGAUGCUAAAUCCUCCAAACUGGCUUCUAUCAGUUAUAAUAAAGGUGACAUCGUAACCUCUCUCUGCCCCCCUUUUGUUUUACUUUCGAUUUGUUCAGAUUUCAGGUUGCGAAGAUGGCCACUUCUUAUUGAACCCCUUCCGAGACCUUGAAGAUUAUAAUAAUCUUUGGACAAACCAGCAGUCAAGGGUUGAUUAAUUAUAUUACGGUGAUUGUGCAAAUAAUCCUCACAAUUGAAACAAGUGGUAAACUAUGAUUAUGUUUUGGUUCUAGUAUAAUUUUUUUCCUGAAGUGAAUAAAUGCCCUAUUUUUGCUUUAAAUAUUUUUAGUUUUCUACGAAGUGAUCAUUAUUUUUUCCAACUGCUAGGAUUUCUCUGUCAAAGAUUUUUAAACAGUACAGUAAAAUCCUAACCAUAAAUGAAAAGUUGAUAAAUUAUAAAACAUUAAAAUUAAGAAUGUAUGUUCAUCAAAUGGCAUGAUUAGAAGAAUAAAAAGGAAAAGCACAGAAUGGCAGAAGAUAUUUGUAAUACAUGUAUCCAAAAAAGGACUUAUGUCUGGAAUCUAUAAAGAAUCCCAAUGGAUCAAUAAAAGAGAGCACAAUAAAAAAAAUGGGCAAAA
This is a long non-coding RNA of Leopardus geoffroyi (Geoffroy's cat), 1601 nucleotides long. RefSeq lists it as uncharacterized. NCBI's taxonomy places the organism in Eukaryota, Metazoa, Chordata, Mammalia, Carnivora, Felidae. The transcript is spliced from 3 exons. The record is from RefSeq and is a predicted model, not a curated record.